CACACUCUGGAGCACCUGUGUUCUGGUUGAUGUGCUAGACGGAUCUCACCUAUAACUCCGUUAAGAUCUACUCCUCCAGCUUGAGCAUGAAGUACCGGUAGUGUUCUCCUUGGAUCAUAUUCUUGAUAACCUUCUUCAACCUCGCCCACUGGUGCAGUCAUCUGUUAUCAAAAAGUUUAAGUUUGUGUGGUCAAUGAACUCCUUUAAGACCUCCACUUACCAGCAGACCUUGUAUUGUACCUUAUCCACCAUCUGUAUACUCCAUAACCUCUAAUGGACAGACUGAUCCUAGGCUCAGCAAUCAGAUCAAUGAUAGUCUUGUCCCGGAUGCUCCUACCUGACUGCAGAGCAGGAAAUUCUACCCAAGAUAAACUUGCAAAGCAUUAGAGAUCUUUCCUAAUGCUUACGAAUCCCCCGGCCAGUUCAACUUUGUAAGUUUUCAUUUAAUUAUCAACGUAAUCCUGGGCAACAUCAAAAGGCUUAUUUUAUUAUUGAAACAUUUCUUAUACAAAGAUUUUAAGCUAGUAGGAACUGAUCAUUGUUUUCGUUUCAGUUCAGGAAUAGAGCUGUAUGAAUACACCUUUCCUGAAAUACUUGCUUGAAAAGACUGUUUUGUGCAUUAAGGAGUGGUAUUUUAAAUGCUCAUCCAUUAUACUUCAUACUUCCUACCAGCUCCAACUAGUUAGGCCUAGAAGCACAA
This is a long non-coding RNA of Eurytemora carolleeae, 700 nucleotides long. RefSeq lists it as uncharacterized. The transcript has 3 exons. Lineage: Eukaryota; Metazoa; Arthropoda; Copepoda; Calanoida; Temoridae. The record is from RefSeq and is a predicted model, not a curated record.